CAGUAGCCGCGGUAAUACGAGGGGUGCAAGCGUUAUUCGGAUUGAUUGGGUGUAAAGGGUGUGCAGACGGCUUAUUAAGUCACUUGUUAAAUUCUUCGGCCUAACUGAAGGUCUGCAUGUGAUACUGAUGAGCUAGAGGGUGGAAGAGAGAAGUGGAAUUCUCGGAGUAGCGGUAAAAUGCGUAGAUCUCGAGAGGAACACCAAUGGCGAAGGCAGCUUCUUGGUCCAUUCCUGACGUUCAUACACGAAAGCGUGGGGAGCAAACAGGAUUAGAUACCCCCGUAGUCCCUGUCUCUUAUAC
Molecule: ribosomal RNA, 301 nt
Filed under: uncultured bacterium
Lineage: Bacteria
Description: partial 16S ribosomal RNA
Rfam family: Bacterial small subunit ribosomal RNA
Source: RNAcentral